GAUGAACGCUGGCGGCGUGCCUAAUACAUGCAAGUCGAGCGAAUGGAUUAAGAGCUUGCUCUUAUGAAGUUAGCGGCGGACGGGUGAGUAACACGUGGGUAACCUGCCCAUAAGACUGGGAUAACUCCGGGAAACCGGGGCUAAUACCGGAUAAUAUUUUGAACUGCAUGGUUCGAAAUUGAAAGGCGGCUUCGGCUGUCACUUAUGGAUGGACCCGCGUCGCAUUAGCUAGUUGGUGAGGUAACGGCUCACCAAGGCAACGAUGCGUAGCCGACCUGAGAUGGUGAUCGGCCACACUGGGACUGGGACACGGCCCAGACUCCUACGGGAGGCAGCAGUAGGGAAUCUUCCGCAAUGGACGAAAGUCGGACGGAGCAACGCCGCGUGAGUGAUGAAGGCUUUCGGGUCGUAAAACUCUGUUGUUAGGGAAGAACAAGUGCUAGUUGAAUAAGCUGGCACCUUGACGGUACCUAACCAGAAAGCCACGGCUAACUACGUGCCAGCCGCCGCGGUAA
RNAcentral lists this ribosomal RNA (515 nucleotides) under uncultured bacterium. Its description in RNAcentral is "partial 16S ribosomal RNA". It matches the Rfam family "Bacterial small subunit ribosomal RNA", at positions 28 to 523 of the family's 1533-position model. The record is from RNAcentral.